This 497-nucleotide ribosomal RNA is filed under the name uncultured bacterium. Its description in RNAcentral is "partial 16S ribosomal RNA". It matches the Rfam family "Bacterial small subunit ribosomal RNA", at positions 28 to 507 of the family's 1533-position model. The record is from RNAcentral.
GAUGAACGCUGGCGGCGUGCCUAAUACAUGCAAGUCGAGCGAACAGAUGAGGAGCUUGCUCCUCUGACGUUAGCGGCGGACGGGUGAGUAACACGUGGAUAACCUACCUAUAAGACUGGGAUAACUACGGGAAACCGGAGCUAAUACCGGAUAAUAUAUUGAAUCGCAUGGUUCAAUAGUGAAAGACGGUUUUGCUGUCACUUAUAGAUGGAUCCGCGCCGCAUUAGCUAGUUGGUAAGGUAACGGCUUACCAAGGCAACGAUGCGUAGCCGACCUGAGAGGGUGAUCGGCCACACUGGAACUGAGACACGGUCCAGACUCCUACGGGAGGCAGCAGUAGGGAAUCUUCCGCAAUGGGCGAAAGCCUGACGGAGCAACGCCGCGUGAGUGAUGAAGGUCUUCGGAUCGUAAAACUCUGUUAUUAGGGAAGAACAAAUGUGUAAGUAACUAUGCACGUCUUGACGGUACCUAAUCAGAAAGCCACGGCUAACUACGUG